UGUGAUGGGGAGCGAAAUUUAGUAGCGAAGUAGCUGAUUUCACACUGUCAAGAAAAGUCUCUAUCGAGGUUAAAGGUACCCGUACCGCAAACCGACACAGGUGGGUGAGGAGAGUAUCCUAAGGCCAGCGAGAGAACUGUUGUUAAGGAACUCGGCAAAAUGACCCCGUAACGUAGGGAUAAGGGAUGCCACCAUCAGGUGGCCGCAGAGAAUAGGCCCAAGCGACUGUUUACCAAAAACAUAGGUUUCUGCUAAGUCGCAAGACGAUGUCUGGGAGCUAACGCCUGCCCGGUGCUGGUAUGUUGAGGGGAACUGUUAGUGCAAGCGAAGCAGUGGACUUAAGCC
RNAcentral lists this ribosomal RNA (345 nucleotides) under Clostridioides difficile. RNAcentral's name for it is "bacterial LSU rRNA". It matches the Rfam family "Bacterial large subunit ribosomal RNA", at positions 1562 to 1919 of the family's 2925-position model. The record is from RNAcentral. Lineage: Bacteria; Bacillati; Bacillota; Clostridia; Peptostreptococcales; Peptostreptococcaceae.